This is a long non-coding RNA of Crotalus tigris (Tiger rattlesnake), 835 nucleotides long. RefSeq lists it as uncharacterized. The record is from RefSeq and is a predicted model, not a curated record. The transcript is spliced from 3 exons. Lineage: Eukaryota; Metazoa; Chordata; Lepidosauria; Squamata; Viperidae.
GGCUCACUUCCGGUUGACCCGGAAGAGAAAGGAGGAGGAGGUGCGGAGACAGCUGCAGCCUUUGGAACAUGGUCAGGCAAGGAAGCAAGGAAGGCAGCAAGCAAGGAUGCAUGCCGGCAGCCUUUGAGCCGCUCUACAACUGCUGACAUCCGUGCCCGCGGCAGCAAGCAACAGGCAAGAAAGGCAGCAUCAACAGGAGAAAUAUGCGGAUGUCAUUAUCCCUCAAGGCGUGGAUAAUACGGGAGAAUCUACACAAAGGCUAUAGACGAUGAGGGGAAGGCUUCCUGUUAACAGUUUCCUGGGUUUGAAUUGCAAAUGGGAAAACAGCGAUCGCAACUGAAAGAUUACACCACUUGGACUGAUCCCAGGAUGACAAGAAGGCCAUCUUACCUUCCUGGUCUUCACUGUUGACACGCAACAAUCUCCAUCGUCAUAGUUGCAAAAGGCUCGGUUGUUGACCGGAUCACAAUAAUUGUCUCCCCCAAAAGGCUGGAAAAGAAAAGAAAAAAACAAAAAGAUGAGGACAAUGUCUACUUGCUUGUUAAGUGAACAUUGGGAAUCGGCUACAAUUGCCGGCCGUGAAGACUCUGGAGAAUGAGAAGGAAGAGAAACGAAUCUUAUUAGUGGACAAUCCAGAACUGUUCCAGUUAAGCUGCCUAGAGCAGGGGUCUUCAAACUCGGCUCUUGCAUGACUUGUGUACUUGUACGUGAGCUUGGCUGAGGAAUUCUGGGAGUUAAAGUCCACAGUCAUAAAAGGGACAAGUUUGAAGACCCCUGGUAUAGUUUCCUGCCUAGAACAGGGGUCUUCAAACUUGGCCCUUUCAUAAUUGUGGAU